UGUCAGGCUGAGAAGGACAUGGAGAGCUGAUGAUUAACACACUUCAGGGGAGAGUGGAGGUCGGCAUGAGACGACCUUGUUGAUGUUAAAACCUCACUGAAGUUUGCUACAACUCUGUAAAACAUUCAUGACCAAACUGUGUCGACGAAAUCACAGCUCACACAUGGAAAAACAUUGAGGAAAAAGUUGCUUGGCGCUUUGUUAGUGUCAGUUAAUAGUAUGAACAGAAGGUCAGGGUUCUUCAUUGUCCUUUAAAGAUUUUAGGUGCAAUCUUAUAACACAGAAAUGUUUCACUACCAGAAAUAAAAAGCAUUUUUCCAGUGUA
Long non-coding RNA from Tachysurus fulvidraco (yellow catfish), 325 nucleotides. RefSeq lists it as uncharacterized. Lineage: Eukaryota; Metazoa; Chordata; Actinopteri; Siluriformes; Bagridae. The transcript has 2 exons. The record is from RefSeq and is a predicted model, not a curated record.